Molecule: ribosomal RNA, 450 nt
Filed under: uncultured bacterium
Lineage: Bacteria
Description: partial 16S ribosomal RNA
Rfam family: Bacterial small subunit ribosomal RNA
Source: RNAcentral
GUGAGGAAUAUUGGUCAAUGGGCGGGAGCCUGAACCAGCCAAGUCGCGUGUGUGAAGAAGGUCUUCGGAUUGUAAAGCACUUUAAGUUGGGAGGAAGGGCAGUAAGUUAAUACCUUGCUGUUUUGACGUUACCGACAGAAUAAGCACCGGCUAACUUCGUGCCAGCAGCCGCGGUAAUACGAAGGGUGCAAGCGUUAAUCGGAAUUACUGGGCGUAAAGCGCGCGUAGGUGGUUCGUUAAGUUGGAUGUGAAAGCCCCGGGCUCAACCUGGGAACUGCAUCCAAAACUGGCGAGCUAGAGUACGGUAGAGGGUGGUGGAAUUUCCUGUGUAGCGGUGAAAUGCGUAGAUAUAGGAAGGAACACCAGUGGCGAAGGCGACCACCUGGACUGAUACUGACACUGAGGUGCGAAAGCGUGGGGAGCAAACAGGAUUAGAUACCCGAGUAGUCC